Molecule: ribosomal RNA, 253 nt
Filed under: uncultured bacterium
Lineage: Bacteria
Description: partial 16S ribosomal RNA
Rfam family: Bacterial small subunit ribosomal RNA
Source: RNAcentral
CACGUAGGGGACGAGCGUUGACCGGAUUCAUUGGGCGUAAAGCGCGCGUAGGCGGCUCGGAAAGUCGGGUGUGAAAGCCCGGGGCUCAACCCCGGGACUGCAUCCGAUACUUCCGGGCUGGAGGUAGGUAGGGGAGAUCGGAAUUCCUGGUGUAGCGGUGAAAUGCGCAGAUAUCAGGAGGAACACCGGUGGCGAAGGCGGAUCUCUGGGCCUUACCUGACGCUGAGGCGCGAAAGCUAGGAGAGAGAACAGG